UACGUAGGGCGCAAGCGUUAUCCGGAAUUAUUGGGCGUAAAGAGCUCGUAGGCGGUUUGUCGUGUCUGCCGUGAAAGUCCGGGGCUCAACUCCGGGCCUGCAGUGGGUACGGGCAGACUAGAGUGCGGUAGGGGAGACUGGAAUUCCUGGUGUAGCGGUGAAAUGCGCAGAUAUCAGGAGGAACACCGGUGGCGAAGGCGGGUCUCUGGGCCGUAACUGACGCUGAGGAGCGAAAGCGUGGGGAGCGAACAGG
RNAcentral lists this ribosomal RNA (253 nucleotides) under uncultured bacterium. Its description in RNAcentral is "partial 16S ribosomal RNA". It matches the Rfam family "Bacterial small subunit ribosomal RNA", at positions 524 to 776 of the family's 1533-position model. The record is from RNAcentral.